This 264-nucleotide ribosomal RNA is filed under the name uncultured bacterium. RNAcentral's name for it is "partial 16S ribosomal RNA". It matches the Rfam family "Bacterial small subunit ribosomal RNA", at positions 335 to 591 of the family's 1533-position model. The record is from RNAcentral.
GCUCCUACGGGGGGCAGCAGUAGGGAAUCUUCCACAAUGGACGAAAGUCUGAUGGAGCAACGCCGCGUGAGUGAAGAAGGGUUUCGGCUCGUAAAGCUCUGUUGGUAGUGGAGAAAGAUAGAGGUAGUAACUGGCCUUUAUUUGGAGGUAAUUACUUAGAAAGUCACGGCUAAAUACGUGCCAGCAGCCGCGGUAAUACGGAGGUGGCAAGCGUUGUCCGGAUUUAUUGGGCGUAAAGCGAGUGGAGGCGGUGCAAGUAGAUUG